This 492-nucleotide ribosomal RNA is filed under the name uncultured bacterium. Its description in RNAcentral is "partial 16S ribosomal RNA". It matches the Rfam family "Bacterial small subunit ribosomal RNA", at positions 29 to 507 of the family's 1533-position model. The record is from RNAcentral.
AGUGAACGCUGGCGGUAGGCCUAACACAUGCAAGUCGAACGGCAGCACAGUAAGAGCUUGCUCUUACGGGUGGCGAGUGGCGGACGGGUGAGGAAUACAUCGGAAUCUACUUUUUCGUGGGGGAUAACGUAGGGAAACUUACGCUAAUACCGCAUACGACCUACGGGUGAAAGCAGGGGAUCUUCGGACCUUGCGCGAUUGAAUGAGCCGAUGUCGGAUUAGCUAGUUGGCGGGGUAAAGGCCCACCAAGGCGACGAUCCGUAGCUGGUCUGAGAGGAUGAUCAGCCACACUGGAACAGAGACACGGUCCAGACUCCUACGGGAGGCAGCAGUGGGGAAUAUUGGACAAUGGGCGCAAGCCUGAUCCAGCCAUACCGCGUGGGUGAAGAAGGCCUUCGGGUUGUAAAGCCCUUUUGUUGGGAAAGAAAAGCAGCAGGUUAAUACCCCGCUGUUCUGACGGUACCCAAAGAAUAAGCACCGGCUAACUUCGUG